GUCUACGGCCAUACCACCCUGAACGCGCCCGAUCUCGUCUGAUCUCGGAAGCUAAGCAGGGUCGGGCCUGGUUAGUACUUGGAUGGGAGAAUCCUUAAACUAGACA
RNAcentral lists this ribosomal RNA (106 nucleotides) under Mustela putorius furo (domestic ferret). Lineage: Eukaryota; Metazoa; Chordata; Mammalia; Carnivora; Mustelidae. The record is from RNAcentral.